This 592-nucleotide ribosomal RNA is filed under the name uncultured bacterium. RNAcentral describes it as "bacterial SSU rRNA". It matches the Rfam family "Bacterial small subunit ribosomal RNA", at positions 338 to 942 of the family's 1533-position model. The record is from RNAcentral.
CCUACGGGAGGCAGCAGUGGGGAAUUUUCCGCAAUGGGCGAAAGCCUGACGGAGCAAUACCGCGUGAGGGACGAAGGCUUUUGGGUCGUAAACCUCUUUUCCCUGAGAAGAAGAUCUGACGGUAUCAGGGGAAUCAGCAUCGGCUAACUUCGUGCCAGCAGCCGCGGUAAUACGAGGGAUGCAAGCGUUAUCCGGAAUUAUUGGGCGUAAAGCGUCCGCAGGUGGCUCUGUAAGUCUGUCGUUAAAGAAUGGGGCUCAACCCCAUACAGGCGAUGGAAACUACAAGGCUAGAGUUUGGUAGGGGUCACGGGAAUUCCUAGUGUAGCGGUGAAAUGCGUAGAUAUUAGGAAGAACACCAGCGGCGAAAGCGCGUGACUGGGCCAGUACUGACACUCAUGGACGAAAGCUAGGGGAGCGAAAGGGAUUAGAUACCCCUGUAGUCCUAGCCGUAAACGAUGAUAACUAGGUGUUGCCCGUAUCGACCCGGGCAGUGCCGUAGCCAACGCGUUAAGUUAUCCGCCUGGGGAAGUACGCACGCAAGUGUGAAACUAAAGUAGAGUCGNGNGNGAAGUGNGCGAGACGACGAGAGGAG